Molecule: long non-coding RNA, 213 nt
Filed under: Elaeis guineensis (African oil palm)
Lineage: Eukaryota; Viridiplantae; Streptophyta; Magnoliopsida; Arecales; Arecaceae
Description: long non-coding RNA (EGUI_LNC035114)
Source: RNAcentral
CAGAUGAUAGCGGUUCAGAAUAUAUUGCAGCAUCUAAUACAGCAUUAUAUUCUGCUUCGCAUAUAGAAUCAGCUGCAGUAUGUUGCUUGGAACUCUUCCAGCAAACAGUUUUUUUAUUCAAGGUAAAUAUGUAGCUCGACACACUUUUGCUAUCAUCAUAAUCUGACUGAAAACUAAAAUCAGUGUAUCCCACAAAUUUCAGGUCAGUGUCUC